Molecule: ribosomal RNA, 543 nt
Filed under: Longpotamon cladopodum
Lineage: Eukaryota; Metazoa; Arthropoda; Malacostraca; Decapoda; Potamidae
Description: partial 16S ribosomal RNA
Rfam family: Bacterial large subunit ribosomal RNA
Source: RNAcentral
GUUUGUUUGAAGUUAUAAAGAAUUUGACCUGCCCCCUGAUUAACUAUUAAAGGGCCGCAGUAUUAUAACUGUGCAAAGGUAGCAUAAUCAUUAGGUUUUUAAUUGAAAUCUCGUAUGAAUGGUUGGACAAAAGAAAGACUCUCUUUAUAUUAAGUUUUGAAUUUAACUUUUAAGUGAAAAGGCUUAAAUAUUCUAAAGGGACGAUAAGACCCUAUAAAACUUUACAUUGUCAUUAAUUUUGAUUGAAUUUAUAAAAUAAGAAUUUUAUUUGAUCAUCUGUUAUGUUGGGGAGACACAAGUAAAAUAUUUUUUUAACUGCUUGAUAGUUAUACAAUUGUUAGUGAGUAAGUAGAAGAUCCUUUUUAAGAUUAGUAGAUUAAGUUACUUUAGGGAUAACAGUGUAAUUUCUUUUGAGAGUUCUUAUCGAAAAAGAAGGUUGCAACCUCGAUGUUGAAUUAAAAUAUCUAUAUAAUGGAGAGGUUAUAUAAGAAGGUCUGUUCGACCUUGAAAUUUUUACAUGAUUUGAGUUCAAACCGGUGUGAG